UAUUUUAUUUUAUUUUAUUUGUAGCUGAAAUGCCAGAAGUUGGAAAACACCACAAGAAAGUCAUGGGCCUUUUAGUCUGUGUGUUGCUGUCCGUGGCCAAUGACCGAACCCCUGCAUUGGAGCUUGCAGUGAAGCGGACAGCUCCGGCAUGAGUCCUCCCCUCCCUUCUCCUCAGCUUUCCCAGAAAAUCCUUCCACGUGUGGCCGACUGUGGAGCAUGCCUAACUCUGCUGACAUGUCUUCCUUGGAUGAUCGUCACAUUUGGUGUCCAAUGUGGAAGCUGGAGAUGUCUGAGGUGAAGUAAUUUGCACAUUGUCCUGAUUGGUAGGUAGCAAGACUUUAACUUGAGCCCACAUCUGCCUGCCCACAAAGCCCUUGUUUGCUCCAGAGACAAUACCUUGUGUUUUCAUGUCUAGCUUGUGAAGGCCUAAUUUUUCUAAGGUUAAAAAUCAUGACUCUGAACAAAUUAACAAGCAAAAGACAACUUCAUUAAAAAGUGGGCAAAGGCUGGGCAUGGUGGCUCA
Long non-coding RNA from Homo sapiens (human), 523 nucleotides. RefSeq lists it as uncharacterized. NCBI's taxonomy places the organism in Eukaryota, Metazoa, Chordata, Mammalia, Primates, Hominidae. The transcript is spliced from 3 exons. The record is from RefSeq and is a predicted model, not a curated record.